CUCUGUUUAUUUGCAAAGGUAACGCACAAGAUAGAGAACUGCAAGUGAUAUCUUAUUUACAUUUCAUGUAAUAAUAUGCUUUUACUUUCAGCUUUAAACAGAAUGAGCUUCAAAAAAAAGCCUUUGAAAUUGUGGGAUGGCACAAACACGGUGACAAUGAAUCUGUAUGAUCUCGCCAAACAAAAUGAGCACAAAAAGCAUCGCUCAUUGCCGAGCAGAACCUUCCUUCACCCUCAGCCCUGCUCUUCCUCCACAGUGGGGUGGUCUCUCCUCUCUUUUCCAGCUCCGUUCAGGACAGGUGAAGACCAUCACACAGUGCAAGCUCCCUCUCUGCCAGCUCAGAGCACACAGGAGGAGCAAAAAUCCCCCCCAGGUUUGUAGGAUUUAAGUCUUCAGAGUGCACAUGCUCAGGCUUUAUUCUAAGCUUUUCAGGGAAGCAAAGAAGACAUGAGAUACCCCCUGUAAUCAUCUGCCUCUGGGAGCUGAUACCAGGUAUCAGAAGAGGUGGUGAAAUCACGGUGUUCAGAGCUGCCUUAUCCAGCUGUGGUGAGUAAUGUGUUUGCUGUAGUGACAAGCAAGUGUCACUGGAGCUGUGUGUGAAUAUUCUGCAUAAUUCCCAGUGCACAUCUUCAGAAAAAGAAGCCAGAAGUCCAAAGCAGAAAUGUGGAGAAGAGGGGUCCAGGUGGCCUCUUUGGGCACCUCCAGGGCUCAGGGGGACUCGGGGUGAAUGGAGCAGAGAGGGAGCUGCGCUGUGCUUUUGGGCUGAGGAGCCAAAAGUUGUCCGAGUGGUUCCUCAGAACAACAAAGUUGCACAGAGCUCAUGUCUAUGACACCUCUACAGACGCCUCAUUAUGUAAAAUUACAUCCUUUUGAAUCUAUGCUAAAAUAAUCUCAUUUUAUAACACAGUGUUGCUGGCUAGCCAGCUCCAGCUUGCAGUGUCUAUGAUGGUGUUUCUUGUCUGGUUUCUGCACGGUUGGGAUGAAGAUGAGCCUGAGCAUCGGGCUUGGGAUGUCUGAAAAUCUGAUUCAGUUCCGGGUCUGCCCUCAGCAGUUCCUCCAUGGAUUAGGUGAGACAUUUUGCUUUUCAGUGUUUUUAACCUGGUCCUGAGGAUACUGGACUUUGCCUUUAUGUGAGCCGUGAGCCUGCCCUUGUCCACCACUAUUGCUGCGGGAGCUGCCAGUCCUGGGAGUGGCAUAAAACAUAUAUAGCUUUUUAUGGAAGAAAUCAGAAGUGGCUCUUUCAUAUUUGUAGGUGUCACACACCAACUGGCUUAUAAAUGUAACUUUAAUGCCUAAAAAGUUGAUAAUCACCUUUAUACUUGCAUACUAGCAUCGUUUUAAAGUGAAUUACCGACAUCAUAUAUUGCCUUAUUCCCCCACA
Molecule: long non-coding RNA, 1381 nt
Filed under: Calidris pugnax (ruff)
Lineage: Eukaryota; Metazoa; Chordata; Aves; Charadriiformes; Scolopacidae
Description: lncRNA (ENSCPUG00000011288.1)
Source: RNAcentral